Molecule: unclassified non-coding RNA, 229 nt
Filed under: Hevea brasiliensis (rubber tree)
Lineage: Eukaryota; Viridiplantae; Streptophyta; Magnoliopsida; Malpighiales; Euphorbiaceae
Source: RNAcentral
AUUUAUCAAGAGUAACAAUUUGAACAGUGUUUGUUCUGUAUGGUGUGUAGCAAGGGAAGGGUUAGGUGAGAAUUUUAAUUUGGGUUAGUGAUGGGAGGCACAGGAGCAGAGGGCCACAAGGAACAAAGUGAUGAUUCAUAGGACUCCCACGGGUGUGUGGGUUGUCCUCCAAAGUCACUCCAGUAGCAGCAAUUGGUAAUUAUAGGGUUUGAAAGGUUGAGAAAGAAAA